RNAcentral lists this ribosomal RNA (424 nucleotides) under Bothriechis schlegelii. RNAcentral's name for it is "partial 16S ribosomal RNA". It matches the Rfam family "Bacterial large subunit ribosomal RNA", at positions 1951 to 2594 of the family's 2925-position model. Lineage: Eukaryota; Metazoa; Chordata; Lepidosauria; Squamata; Viperidae. The record is from RNAcentral.
CAAAGGUAGCAUAAUCAUUUGUCUAUUAAUUGUAGACCUGUAUGAAAGGCAAAAUGAGAGCCCAACUGUCUCUUAUAACAAAUCAAUUAAACUGAUCCCCUAGUACAAAAGCUAGGAUACCAACAUAAGACCAGAAGACCCUGUGAAGCUUUAACUAACCUAUUAAACCCAAUAAUAGCUACUUUCGGUUGGGGCGACCUUGGAACAAAAAAGAACUUCCAACAUAUGACUAAUCAUAAAACAAGGCAAACAAGCCACACCAGACCCAGUAUUACUGACAAUUGAAAUAAGUUACUCCAGGGAUAACAGCGCCAUCUUCUUUAAGAGCCCAUAUCAAAAAGAAGGUUUACGACCUCGAUGUUGGAUCAGGACAUCCCAGUAAUGCAGCCGUUACUAAAGGUUCGUUUGUUCAACAAUUAACAGU